AAAAAAUCACCACCUUACAUUGUUUGUCCAAUCCAAUUAUAUUGACGUGCAUGUGAACAUAGCAUUUACAAUGUUCCCUCAUUAUAUAAAUAACCAAAACUUGUCAGUUUGGUAAGCAACAAAAAACAACCAGUUUCGAGCUCUUGGCGUUGGUGGUGUUGGUGGUGUUGGUGAUGGAGAAGAGCAAGUCAUACCCAGAAUACUCAUCAUCUUUCUCUGGAGAAUUUGGGUUCGAAGAUGGAUCAAAUUCGUAUAGCUUCAACGGGCCAUGUCAGAAAGCGAAUGGAUUUGCAACAUCAAACGAUCCAGAGGUGAAGAGAAAGAAGAGAAUAGCUUCAUAUAAUGUGUUCACCAUGGAAGGGAAGCUUAAAUCUAGUGUAAGAAAUAGCUUCAAGUGGAUCAAGAGCAAGUUCAGCACUACUGAUCAUGUUCGUUAUGGUAUGUAAAUGGUUAAAAUUCUGCUUAUUUGGGGAUCAGAGAGAAGGGAAUUUUCUCUCCUUGGAAGACUAGAGAAGCUAGGAGUGUUAUGAUUUUGUGUUGUUUUGGUCUUUUUAGCUUGGAAUAUGCUUGCCAUGCAUCAUACGAGAGUUUGGUUGGUCAUUUGUAUGUUGGAGAAAAGAAAAAUCCCUUCUCUCCUUUCAUUUCUUUCUUGGUCUUAAACUCCUGCAAUUUCCCUAGUUCUUCUGUAUCUAUUAUACACUCCAUUUAGAAAGAAAACAGCAUAGGCAAGAAUUUCCAGAGACGAUGAUGGUGAUGAUCAUAAUUACAAUCAGUCACAAUGAUAAUAGAUAUAAUAUUGAUAAUAAAUCGAAUUAAUACUGCAUA
This 825-nucleotide unclassified non-coding RNA is filed under the name Hevea brasiliensis (rubber tree). Lineage: Eukaryota; Viridiplantae; Streptophyta; Magnoliopsida; Malpighiales; Euphorbiaceae. The record is from RNAcentral.